Molecule: ribosomal RNA, 411 nt
Filed under: uncultured Prevotella sp.
Lineage: Bacteria; Pseudomonadati; Bacteroidota; Bacteroidia; Bacteroidales; Prevotellaceae
Description: bacterial SSU rRNA
Rfam family: Bacterial small subunit ribosomal RNA
Source: RNAcentral
UGAGGAAUAUUGGUCAAUGGGCGAGAGCCUGAACCAGCCAAGUAGCGUGAGGGAUGACUGCCCUAUGGGUUGUAAACCUCUUUUGAUUGGGAACAAAGAGCGCCACGUGUGGUGCGUUGCGUGUACCUUUCGAAUAAGCAUCGGCUAAUUCCGUGCCAGCAGCCGCGGUAAUACGGAAGGUCCGGGCGUUAUCCGGAUUUAUUGGGUUUAAAGGGAGCGUAGGCCGGAGAUUAAGCGUGUUGUGAAAUGCCGCGGCUCAACCGUGGCACUGCAGCGCGAACUGGUUUUCUUGAGUGCGCGCGACGCAGGCGGAAUUCGUGGUGUAGCGGUGAAAUGCUUAGAUAUCACGAGGAACCCCGAUUGCGAAGGCAGCUUGCGGGAGCGCAACUGACGCUGAAGCUCGAAGGUGCG